RNAcentral lists this microRNA precursor (87 nucleotides) under Nomascus leucogenys (northern white-cheeked gibbon). RNAcentral describes it as "miRNA (ENSNLEG00000030989.1)". It matches the Rfam family "mir-515 microRNA precursor family". The record is from Rfam by way of RNAcentral. Lineage: Eukaryota; Metazoa; Chordata; Mammalia; Primates; Hylobatidae.
UCUCAGGCUGUGACCCUCUAGAGGGAAGCGCUUUCUGUUGUCUGAAAGAAAAGAAAGUGCAUCCUUUUAGAGGGUUACCAUUUGAGA